AGAGUUUGAUCAUGGCUCAGAAUGAACGCUGGCGGCGUGGUUAACACAUGCAAGUCGAGCGCCCGUAGCAAUACGGGAGCGGCGCACGGGUGAGUAACGCGUGGGAACCUGCCCAGAGGUCUGGGACAACCGCGGGAAACUGCGGCUGAUACCGGAUGAUUCCUGAGGGACAAAGAUUUAUCGCCUUUGGAGGGGCCCGCGUCGGAUUAGGUAGUUGGUGGGGUAACGGCUCACCAAGCCUAUGAUCCGUAACUGGUCUGAGAGGAUGACCAGUCGCACUGGGACUGAGACACGGCCCAGACUCCUACGGGAGGCAGCAGUGGGGAGUAUUGGACAAUGGGGGCAACCCUGAUCCAGCAAUGCCGCGUGGGUGAUGAAGGCCUUCGGGUUGUAAAGCCCUUUCGGCGGGGACGAUGAUGACGGUACCCGCAGAAGAAGCCCCGGCUAACUUCGUG
RNAcentral lists this ribosomal RNA (455 nucleotides) under uncultured bacterium. Its description in RNAcentral is "bacterial SSU rRNA". It matches the Rfam family "Bacterial small subunit ribosomal RNA", at positions 8 to 507 of the family's 1533-position model. The record is from RNAcentral.